Molecule: ribosomal RNA, 474 nt
Filed under: uncultured bacterium
Lineage: Bacteria
Description: partial 16S ribosomal RNA
Rfam family: Bacterial small subunit ribosomal RNA
Source: RNAcentral
GAUGAACGCUAGCGGCAGGCCUAACACAUGCAAGUCGAGGGAGGAGCUUUCGGGCUUCGACCGGCGUACGGGUGCGUAACGCGUAUACAAUCUGCCUUUCACAUAGGGAUAGCCCGAAGAAAUUUGGAUUAAUACCUAAUGGUAUAUAGGAGUGACAUCACAUUUAUAUUAAAGCUGAGGCGGUGAAAGAUGACUAUGCGUUCUAUUAGCUAGUUGGAGAGGUAACGGCUCCCCAAGGCGACGAUAGAUAGGGGUUCUGAGAGGGAUAUCCCCCACACUGGUACUGAGAUACGGACCAGACUCCUACGGGAGGCAGCAGUGAGGAAUAGUGGACAAUGGUCGGAAGACUGAUCCAGCCAUGCCGCGUGCAGGAAGACGGCCUUAUGGGUUGUAAACUGCUUUUGCAGGGGAAGAAUAAGGACUACGAGUAGUUUGAUGACGGUACUCUGCGAAUAAGCAUCGGCUAACUCCGUG